This 253-nucleotide ribosomal RNA is filed under the name uncultured bacterium. Its description in RNAcentral is "partial 16S ribosomal RNA". It matches the Rfam family "Bacterial small subunit ribosomal RNA", at positions 524 to 776 of the family's 1533-position model. The record is from RNAcentral.
UACAGAGGUCUCAAGCGUUGUUCGGAUUUACUGGGCGUAAAGGGCGCGCAGGCGGCGCAUUUUGUCAGGCGUGAAAGCCCCGGGCUUAACCUGGGAACUGCGUUUGAUACGGAUGGGCUAGAGUUCGGGAGAGGAGAGUGGAAUUCCCAGUGUAGAGGUGAAAUUCGUAGAUAUUGGGAAGAACACCGGUGGCGAAGGCGGCUCUCUGGACCGAGACUGACGCUGAGGCGCGAAAGCGUGGGGAGCAAACAGG